Molecule: ribosomal RNA, 465 nt
Filed under: Vreelandella stevensii
Lineage: Bacteria; Pseudomonadati; Pseudomonadota; Gammaproteobacteria; Oceanospirillales; Halomonadaceae
Description: partial 16S ribosomal RNA
Rfam family: Bacterial small subunit ribosomal RNA
Source: RNAcentral
CCUACGGGAGGCUGCAGUGGGGAAUAUUGGACAAUGGGCGAAAGCCUGAUCCAGCCAUGCCGCGUGUGUGAAGAAGGCCUUCGGGUUGUAAAGCACUUUCAGUGGGGAAGAAAGCCUUGGGGCUAAUACCCUCGAGGAAGGACAUCACCCACAGAAGAAGCACCGGCUAACUCCGUGCCAGCAGCCGCGGUAAUACGGAGGGUGCGAGCGUUAAUCGGAAUUACUGGGCGUAAAGCGCGCGUAGGCGGUCUGAUAAGCCGGUUGUGAAAGCCCCGGGCUCAACCUGGGAACGGCAUCCGGAACUGUCAGGCUAGAGUGCAGGAGAGGAAGGUAGAAUUCCCGGUGUAGCGGUGAAAUGCGUAGAGAUCGGGAGGAAUACCGGUGGCGAAGGCGGCCUUCUGGACUGACACUGACGCUGAGGUGCGAAAGCGUGGGUAGCAAACAGGAUUAGAUACCCGUGUAGUC